GUUAAUCUUAAUAACUAGCCGAAGACAGUAGGUGACGCAAGUCUUAAUUUCCUACCGAGGACCAUAUUGAAUGAAAUCAAUAGUCCCUCUAUGUCAACGGUGGCAUGGGGUUUUUUUUGUUGAAAA
Vagococcus penaei is the source of this 126-nucleotide regulatory RNA element. It matches the Rfam family "Ribosomal protein L10 leader". Rfam says of the family: This family is a putative r-protein leader autoregulatory structure found in B. subtilis and other low-GC Gram-positive bacteria. It is located in the 5' untranslated regions of mRNAs encoding ribosomal proteins L10 and L12 (rplJ-rplL). The record is from Rfam. Lineage: Bacteria; Bacillati; Bacillota; Bacilli; Lactobacillales; Enterococcaceae.